Molecule: ribosomal RNA, 732 nt
Filed under: uncultured bacterium
Lineage: Bacteria
Description: bacterial SSU rRNA
Rfam family: Bacterial small subunit ribosomal RNA
Source: RNAcentral
AACAGGAUUAGAUACCCUGGUAGUCCACGCCGUAAACGAUGAGUGCUAAGUGUUAGGGGGUUUCCGCCCCUUAGUGCUGCAGCUAACGCAUUAAGCACUCCGCCUGGGGAGUACGACCGCAAGGUUGAAACUCAAAGGAAUUGACGGGGGCCCGCACAAGCGGUGGAGCAUGUGGUUUAAUUCGAAGCAACGCGAAGAACCUUACCAAAUCUUGACAUCCUCUGAACCCUCUAGAGAUAGAGUUUUCCCCUUCGGGGGACAGAGUGACAGGUGGUGCAUGGUUGUCGUCAGCUCGUGUCGUGAGAUGUUGGGUUAAGUCCCGCAACGAGCGCAACCCUUAAGCUUAGUUGCCAUCAUUAAGUUGGGCACUCUAAGUUGACUGCCGGUGACAAACCGGAGGAAGGUGGGGAUGACGUCAAAUCAUCAUGCCCCUUAUGAUUUGGGCUACACACGUGCUACAAUGGACAAUACAAAGGGUAGCGAAACCGCGAGGUCAAGCAAAUCCCAUAAAGUUGUUCUCAGUUCGGAUUGUAGUCUGCAACUCGACUAUAUGAAGCUGGAAUCGCUAGUAAUCGUAGAUCAGCAUGCUACGGUGAAUACGUUCCCGGGUCUUGUACACACCGCCCGUCACACCACGAGAGUUUGUAACACCCGAAGCCGGUGGAGUAACCAUUUGGAGCUAGCCGUCGAAGGUGGGACAAAUGAUCGGGGUGAAGUCGUAACAAGGUAACC